CACGCUUGAACUGAAUCACCCGGGUAGGAUUGCUAUACUGGGAGAAGAGCAAGCGCUUGCCUGACUGAAAUGUGAAGCCGGAAGGUAUAUAUCUGUUUGAUGUCUUCCAGAAGUGGUAUCCGUAUCAAACCGGAGAUGUUUUAGCUGUAAGAAUAUUAAGAAGUGAAACUCUGGUCUGAAUCAGUCGCCGGAAAAUACACUCCAACUCGAUCUCAAGCUCCUCAACAGUGAUCUCUGCAGCCUCCAACCUUGUACUUGCGCUCCGCAUCGCUACUUCGUCCCACGCAUCAUCAAAGCAGCAAAACUGCAUCGUAAAGAUAGAAGAAAAUGACCCUAUGCUCGGUUUUCUCUCGAGCCAAGGAACACAUACGAGUGAGAACAGAGACUCAACCAUAGUCACAACGGCUCUUCUCACUUCUUUCAAAACCUCAGCAACAAACAGAAGGUUCUGCUCUAUGCUCUGCAUCUCCAUCAUCCCUCUCCCUCCUCCUUCAAUACUCUUUAGACUAUUUAAACACUUGAGCGUUUCCUUCUUGAGCUUGUUCCUAUACCGAUUAUACGCUGCAACCUUUUCACUAAGGUUUGAUCCAUUACAGCGCAGAGUCAGUUGAAGAUCUUGCAGGCCAUGUCUCACGAGUGCCAUGACAUCUUUCGACACAUUACAGACAUCUAACAUUAUUAGUGAAGCUUCAGAGACUUGCUCGAUCCAGUUCUCUUUCCCUUGUUGGCACAGAGACUCUCUUGCUUCUGGACAGUGAUCGAGAAGAUAGUUUGCGCAGUCUUGUAGUUCUCUCAAACCUUCCAAGUCCAGUAGCGCCAUUCGGUUGAAACCUCAAAAGGGUAUUGCUUGAUGAGAACUUGAUGAGAGAUUUGUGAUUAGGGUUUAGUGAAAUCUUAGGGUUACGUCCAUAAAUAGGGAUUGUUUGAAUUGGAGUUGAAGAUGGAUCUGAGAAGAAUGAGGAAAGUACGAAGAAGGAACCCUGAGGUUAGUUUUUUCCUUUUCUUUGCGAGGUGUUUUUUUUUUGUACAUAAGUGAAGACAUUAGUGUUGGAGACAGGUCAUUUAGUUUUCAAAUUCAAACUAGUUGAAGUUAGUGGUAUUUAGGAACCUUCCGUUUAUGUAAGUGGCACUAGAUUAGGCUACAUUAUGGAUUUGCUUCGAUAUUAUUGUCUACAUAACAAAACAAAAUACAAUUUUAAUUUAAAUUAUAAUCGGAUACCUUUAUCAGAAACCAUGCAUGAACCAAGCCAGCCAGUGUUUGUAAUUAUCUGAAUAAAACGGAAGAAUUAUUUAUUUAUAUCUGAAAUGUUC
This is a long non-coding RNA of Arabidopsis thaliana (thale cress), 1311 nucleotides long. RefSeq annotates it as other RNA. NCBI's taxonomy places the organism in Eukaryota, Viridiplantae, Streptophyta, Magnoliopsida, Brassicales, Brassicaceae. The record is from RefSeq. The transcript is spliced from 2 exons.